GCGUGCCUAAUACAUGCAAGUCGAACGAGGUGCUUUUGUAGCAAUACGAGGGUAUCCUAGUGGCGAACGGGUGAGUAACGCGUUGGUGACCUGCCCCAAAGUGUGGGAUAACAGUCCGAAAGGACUGCUAAUACCGCAUGUGGCCAUCGGGUUUAGAAACCGAUGACUAAAGCAGUAAUGCGCUUUGGGAGGGGCCUGCGUCCCAUCAGCUAGUUGGUGAGGUAACGGCUCACCAAGGCGACGACGGGUAGGGGACCUGAGAGGGUGACCCCCCACAAUGGAACUGAAACACGGUCCAUACACCUACGGGUGGCAGCAGUAGGGAAUAUUGCACAAUGGGCGAAAGCCUGAUGCAGCAACGCCGCGUGUGUGAUGAAGGCCUUCGGGUCGUAAAGCACUUUUCUGGGAGAUGAGAAAGGACAGUAUCUCAGGAAUAAGUCUCGGCUAACUACGUGCCAGCAGCCGCGGUAAAACGUAGGAGGCAAGCGUUAUCUGGAUUCACUGGGCGUAAAGCGCGUGCAGGUGGUGCGGUAAGUUAGGCGUGAAAUCUCCCGGCUCAACUGGGAGAGGUCGUCUAAUACUACCGUACUUGAGAGCAGAAGAGGAAGAUGGAAUUCCCG
Molecule: ribosomal RNA, 620 nt
Filed under: uncultured soil bacterium
Lineage: Bacteria
Description: bacterial SSU rRNA
Rfam family: Bacterial small subunit ribosomal RNA
Source: RNAcentral